Molecule: long non-coding RNA, 250 nt
Filed under: Homo sapiens (human)
Lineage: Eukaryota; Metazoa; Chordata; Mammalia; Primates; Hominidae
Description: HSALNT0063225
Source: RNAcentral
UUAUUUAAGUACUUUUAUAAUCUUCCCACUGAAAAAUAUAGUUUCCCACUAACCUUAUUUAGUCUUACUCAUUUAUUUAGUCUUACUCAUUUUGAUGUUCUAUUAAGUAUUGAAACUUCUUGGUUGAAAGGCUGUGACAGGCAAACGAAUGUAGCUAAGAGAAAAGCUGUCAUCCAAGAGCUUGCACAAAGUUAAAUAACCUUGAUAAAUCUACCAUACUAUAUAGUAAGGUUCCCAUACUCAAGAGUCU